ACCUGGCUAGCUCAGUCGGUAGAGCAUGAGAUUCUUCAUCUCAGGGUCGUGGGUUUGAGCCCCACGUUAGGCA
Danio rerio (zebrafish) is the source of this 73-nucleotide non-coding RNA. NCBI's taxonomy places the organism in Eukaryota, Metazoa, Chordata, Actinopteri, Cypriniformes, Danionidae. The record is from Rfam.